AAAAUAUAUAUAUAUAUAUAUAUAUAUAUAUAUAUAUUUUCUAGUGUGUAUUCUUAAAGGUCUAAAAAACUCAGACCAAACCUUCAGUCAUUAAAUUUUAGCUGUUUACCCCCCCCCAAAAAAAAAGAUAAACACCCCUCUGAUUUCAUAAAAUGUUUGGGUAAAAUAUACUUCUUGAGAUGCUAAUUCAGUAGGGGGACAGAUUACUCUUAUAGUUAAGCUAAUUACAGACAGCACCAGAUAUU
Octodon degus (degu) is the source of this 245-nucleotide long non-coding RNA. RefSeq lists it as uncharacterized. The transcript has 3 exons. The record is from RefSeq and is a predicted model, not a curated record. NCBI's taxonomy places the organism in Eukaryota, Metazoa, Chordata, Mammalia, Rodentia, Octodontidae.